RNAcentral lists this transfer RNA (83 nucleotides) under Felis catus (domestic cat). It matches the Rfam family "tRNA". Rfam says of the family: Transfer RNA (tRNA) molecules are approximately 80 nucleotides in length. Their secondary structure includes four short double-helical elements and three loops (D, anti-codon, and T loops). Lineage: Eukaryota; Metazoa; Chordata; Mammalia; Carnivora; Felidae. The record is from Rfam by way of RNAcentral. RNAcentral also lists the same sequence under 5 other names.
GCUCAGUUGGUUGAGGGUCUGACUCUUGAUUUUGACUCAGGUCAUGAUCUCACGAUUCAUGGGUUCAAGCCCCAUAUGGGGCU